Molecule: long non-coding RNA, 563 nt
Filed under: Homo sapiens (human)
Lineage: Eukaryota; Metazoa; Chordata; Mammalia; Primates; Hominidae
Description: non-protein coding KIZ-AS1:3
Source: RNAcentral
GAGAUCUUCAGGAGUACUUCAGCAGCUGUUUCGGAUUUUUCUCUGUGGAUGUCCUCAUGGGACUAAGUGGAAAUUGGAAAAGUAUCAUCAAACUCUUCUUGAGAUUCCUUUUUGAUAAGGAAGAUUGCAGAAAAAUUUGUGGCUGAAGAGGAUGCACUGAGAAGAAAGAUAACUGCCCUUAUUCUAAAUCCCAAUCUUCAAUCAAGUACUAAGAUGGUCUGCACUUUGCCUACUGCCCUGCUGGGAAAAUGCACUGACCAGUCAUCAGCAAAUUCUAGCCCAUUCAGCAGGUUGAAAAGCUACUGACCAGGAAGGUCAUUUCCAGCAUUUCCCAUAGCUUCAAGAUUACUAGUACAGACGCAGAAGGUAAUGUAAAACAAAGCCACUUAAUCCGGUGAAGUUUUCUUGUGACAGGGUCCCUUUAAAGACUAUUAUCCUGAUUUCCAUCCACCCUUUGAUAGAAUCAAUGUGUACUAGAUUUAAGCAGAAUCCUGUAAAUAUCCUCCCUAUUUAUAUCUUUAACAUAAAACAGCCUAAGUGGCACAUGACAGGUGAGGAGAACA